This 253-nucleotide ribosomal RNA is filed under the name uncultured bacterium. Its description in RNAcentral is "partial 16S ribosomal RNA". It matches the Rfam family "Bacterial small subunit ribosomal RNA", at positions 524 to 776 of the family's 1533-position model. The record is from RNAcentral.
UACAGAGGUCUCAAGCGUUGUUCGGAUUCAUUGGGCGUAAAGGGUGCGUAGGUGGCGCGGUAAGUGGGGUGUGAAAUUUCGGAGCUUAACUCCGAAACUGCAUUCCAUACUGCCGUGCUCGAGGACUGGAGAGGAGACUGGAAUUUACGGUGUAGCAGUGAAAUGCGUAGAGAUCGUAAGGAAGACCAGUGGCGAAGGCGGGUCUCUGGACAGUUCCUGACACUGAGGCACGAAGGCCAGGGGAGCAAACGGG